Molecule: long non-coding RNA, 922 nt
Organism: Vitis vinifera (wine grape)
Lineage: Eukaryota; Viridiplantae; Streptophyta; Magnoliopsida; Vitales; Vitaceae
Exons: 6
Source: RefSeq, a predicted model, not a curated record
CCCACAAAACCCUUCUCCUGCAAUCAUUUCCAAUAUAAAGCCUUUCUCUCUCCUGCCAACAAAACCCAUUUUCUUUCCUCUCCAAAACCCACGGCCAUAAAACCCACAAAACCUACCCACAUCCCCCAUUGCUUGGAGGAAGCCAUUUCCGGAAAAAACUUAUGGAAGCCAUGCCGAAGAAGCCCCAUGGAAGCUAUGGUCCAUAAAGCCAAAGCCACCUCCAAGAAAUUCCCGUAAAAAUCGUUUCUCUCUAGGUUUUGGGUUUUGGUGCUUUUGGAAAAACCACACUUAAUUACUUCCCAAGGAAAUGUCACAUCGAAGAGGAAGAGUACAAAUAGUGUCUCCGGAAGAUGAGUUGGACAAUCUACAACAACUCUUAGACAUACAACCUGCUGCAACUACUACUCCUAGUAGUUCUGAUCCUUCUGAUUCUUCAGAUCCUUCUGCUGUUGGAAAAAUAUGAACUAGAAGAAACAUGUAAGAGCUACAUUCUUCAAUGUUGUGGAAAUUUGUUUAGAAGCUAUAGAAAUAAAAUGAAGGCCAAGUAUUAUAACCCUUAUAAUACAGAUGAGAAGAGAUUGUGCCAUCGACCUCCACACUUAUCGGAUGAUGAUUGGAGGUGGCUCAUCCACUUUUGGGGUACACCUGAGGCCAAGGAUAUCUCAGGAAAAAAAAAAAAAAACAAGGCAAAUAGGGCAAAACAAGUGAUAAAGCAUACAUCGGGAUCAAAAAGUUAUGCUCAAAUUCGAUAUGAACGGCAAUUACUAUCCCAAAUUGAGGAGACAUCUUCUUCUACUUCUGCAUCAUCUGGAGCAUCUACAUCUGUAUCAUCUAACUUUUUUUGCUUUCUAUGACUAUUAUGUGAUGUUUGGUUGGUUGAUUUGUUAUAUUAUGUUAGAAUGUGAAACUAAAUUUGAAUCUC